Molecule: ribosomal RNA, 774 nt
Filed under: uncultured Neocallimastigales
Lineage: Eukaryota; Fungi; Neocallimastigomycota; Neocallimastigomycetes; Neocallimastigales
Description: partial large subunit ribosomal RNA
Rfam family: Eukaryotic large subunit ribosomal RNA
Source: RNAcentral
UAUGUGAUCGUCUCUCGCAUAUCAAUAAGCGGAGGAAAAGAAACUAACAAGGAUUCCCCUAGUAACGGCGAGUGAAGCGGGAAGAGCUCAAAUUUGAAAUCUUAAAGGGUUUCCCUUUACGAAUUGCAGUUUAAAGAAGUGUUUUCUGUUGAGGUUUUGGUAAAAGUUCUUUGGAAUAGGACAUCAUAGAGGGUGAGAAUCCCGUAUUUGACCUUUACUUUCAACUUUGUGAUACACUUUCAAAGAGUCGGAUUGUUUGGGAAUGCAGUCCAAAAUGGGUGGUAAAUUUCAUCUAAAGCUAAAUAUUGGCGAGAGACCGAUAGCGAACAAGUACCGUGAGGGAAAGAUGAAAAGAACUUUGAAAAGAGAGUUAAACAGUACGUGAAAUUGUCAAAAGGGAAGCGUUUGACACCAGUGUUGUUUUUCUGAAAUUCAAUUAAAGAACUGUUUAUGCUAAGCUGUUUAGACUUUAUCAGCUAUCUGUUUAGUUUUGAGCUUUUCUUUAAUGCACUUUUCAGUUAACAAGUCAACAUCAAUUUCUUUUGCUGUAAAAAAGCUUGAGGAAGGUGGCUUGAGAUUCGUCUUAAGUGUUUAUAGCCUCUUGCCUAUGCAGUCGGAGAGAUUGAGGUCUGCAGCGUAGAUCCUUCGGGGCUAAAUGCAUUUGUGCUAAGUUAUAGCAUUUUAUAGACAACUUGUUGACUAUGAUUUGUCUUGUAGCUUACUCGCUUAUGUUAUUUUACCUACGCUUAGGAUGUUGACACACGCGCGUGCUCG